RNAcentral lists this ribosomal RNA (465 nucleotides) under uncultured bacterium. RNAcentral describes it as "partial 16S ribosomal RNA". It matches the Rfam family "Bacterial small subunit ribosomal RNA", at positions 338 to 795 of the family's 1533-position model. The record is from RNAcentral.
CCUACGGGUGGCAGCAGUAGGGAAUCUUCGGCAAUGGACGAAAGUCUGACCGAGCAACGCCGCGUGAGUGAAGAAGGUUUUCGGAUCGUAAAACUCUGUUGUUAGAGAAGAACAAGGACGUUAGUAACUGAACGUCCCCUGACGGUAUCUAACCAGAAAGCCACGGCUAACUACGUGCCAGCAGCCGCGGUAAUACGUAGGUGGCAAGCGUUGUCCGGAUUUAUUGGGCGUAAAGCGAGCGCAGGCGGUUUCUUAAGUCUGAUGUGAAAGCCCCCGGCUCAACCGGGGAGGGUCAUUGGAAACUGGGAGACUUGAGUGCAGAAGAGGAGAGUGGAAUUCCAUGUGUAGCGGUGAAAUGCGUAGAUAUAUGGAGGAACACCAGUGGCGAAGGCGGCUCUCUGGUCUGUAACUGACGCUGAGGCUCGAAAGCGUGGGGAGCAAACAGGAUUAGAUACCCCGGUAGUC